GACGAACGCUGGCGGCGUGCCUAAUACAUGCAAGUUGAGCGCUGAAGGUUGGUACUUGUCCCGACUGGAUGAGCAGCGAACGGGUGAGUAACGCGUGGGGAAUCUGCCUUUGAGCGGGGGACAACAUUUGGAAACGAAUGCUAAUACCGCAUAAAAACUUUAAACACAAGUUUUAAGUUUGAAAGAUGCAAUUGCAUCACUCAAAGAUGAUCCCGCGUUGUAUUAGCUAGUUGGUGAGGUAAAGGCUCACCAAGGCGAUGAUACAUAGCCGACCUGAGAGGGUGAUCGGCCACAUUGGGACUGAGACACGGCCCAAACUCCUACGGGAGGCAGCAGUAGGGAAUCUUCGGCAAUGGACGAAAGUCUGACCGAGCAACGCCGCGUGAGUGAAGAAGGGUUUCGGAUCGUAAAACUCUGUUGGUAGAGAAGAACGUUGGUGAGAGUGGAAAGCUCAUCAAGUGACGGUAACUACCCAGAAAGGGACGGCUAACUACGUG
Molecule: ribosomal RNA, 497 nt
Filed under: uncultured bacterium
Lineage: Bacteria
Description: partial 16S ribosomal RNA
Rfam family: Bacterial small subunit ribosomal RNA
Source: RNAcentral